UCGGGCAGCGACAACAUCCCGUGCUCGCCUUUUCAUUCUUGGCACAAGUGCACGUUUGCCUUGGCCGCGUCGGUUUUCCUGUGUUGCAUACCUGCUGUGAAGGCACUCUUUCGGAUAUAAAUGACCCAUUUCCACCAAGUGCUGCCUCUUUCGUGCGGUGGCGCGAGGUGGAACCCCAAAUGCGGUCGACGUGUUUCCUCUUUCCCGUUCAUUAAAGACGGGCGAUUGGCCCACGUUUGCAUCGUGCGAUCUCUCGGUUGCGGAGUAUCAUGUGGGUACGUGGCCUUGUGCCUCUAUUUGCCCCGUAACAAGCGUUCUACGCUUCACGCGAACGACCGUCGUUGUCGUUUUGAUCGGGUCCUCGCGGCUCGUACCAUGCGGCACCGGCGUCGGUGAGGAAUGC
RNAcentral lists this unclassified non-coding RNA (403 nucleotides) under Penstemon hartwegii. RNAcentral's name for it is "partial external transcribed spacer". The record is from RNAcentral. Lineage: Eukaryota; Viridiplantae; Streptophyta; Magnoliopsida; Lamiales; Plantaginaceae.